AUUGAACGCUGGCGGCAGGCCUAACACAUGCAAGUCGAACGGUAACAGGAAACAGCUUGCUGUUUCGCUGACGAGUGGCGGACGGGUGAGUAAUGUCUGGGAAACUGCCUGAUGGAGGGGGAUAACUACUGGAAACGGUAGCUAAUACCGCAUAACGUCGCAAGACCAAAGAGGGGGACCUUCGGGCCUCUUGCCAUCGGAUGUGCCCAGAUGGGAUUAGCUAGUAGGUGGGGUAACGGCUCACCUAGGCGACGAUCCCUAGCUGGUCUGAGAGGAUGACCCGCAACACGGGAACAGAGACAGGGUCGAGACUCCGAGGGGGGACAGCGGGGGGGAAUAUUGAAGAAGGGGCGCAAGCCGAAUGCAGCGAGGCCGGGGUUAUGAAGAAGGCCUUGGGGUUGAAAAGUACUUUCGGGGGGGAAGAAGGGAAAAAGUUAAAUCCUUUGUCUCAUGCAGGCACCCGGAAAAAGAAGCACGGGCAACCCCCGCC
Molecule: ribosomal RNA, 490 nt
Filed under: uncultured bacterium
Lineage: Bacteria
Description: partial 16S ribosomal RNA
Rfam family: Bacterial small subunit ribosomal RNA
Source: RNAcentral